Mesocricetus auratus (golden hamster) is the source of this 908-nucleotide long non-coding RNA. RefSeq lists it as uncharacterized. The record is from RefSeq and is a predicted model, not a curated record. NCBI's taxonomy places the organism in Eukaryota, Metazoa, Chordata, Mammalia, Rodentia, Cricetidae. The transcript has 3 exons.
UGGAUGCUGUCUUCUCGCUCUUGCUGAGCUGCACUGCGGCGACCGGGCCGGGCUGAGUCGCAGGGUCAGCAUCACGCGGGGCGCAGGAUGACCCAAGAGCGGGGAGAGCUCGCUUGGGUCUCACCAGGCAUUGCAUUCCGAUCGCCGGGUGUAGUACCGUCCGGUUGUACGGGGUGUGGGCGGAGCUGGCUGUAGGCCAGUAGGUGAGCGACCUUCCGAGGCAAGCAGGAGGAACGAGCACUGGCCUCCUGGAGAGGGGACGGUCGGCACCCCCGAGAGCGCUCUCCGUUCCGCAUAGGGCUCUAGCUCUGGGCGCGCGGAGUAGCUUUGGAGUCGGAAGACCGGGAAUGAUGGUUGUGGUGAGGUGACAGCUCUGAGCUUUCCUGGAAAUGCCUGACUCUGUGGCUUUGCUGUGUAAGCUGCAUCCCCGUGGAAGUAUCGCGAACCAAGUGUGAUUAAGUUGAGCUGCAUCAAAAAGUAAAACCUAGCCCUUGAAAGGCAGAGACUAAGAGGCCAAGAACUUGAAGGCUCUGCCGAGGAGCAGCUGCUUCUGGGGACAGAUACUACCCUGAGGAUCUGAAUUGGGGUUGUGGGACACACUCUCCUGCUGCCUGGCACUGGCAUGUUAGGAAUGACCCACAUGGGAGUCAGUCUUUCCUAAGAGCCACAAAAGUGCCUCCAAACCAAGACUCAAGCCUGGCUGACCACGGUGCCUCUUGAGACCCCUUGUGAAAAAUAGCCUUGUGCCUGCAGCCUGGAUGCCCUGACCCCCACAUCACCACCACCAAAGCCAGAGUCCACUCCAAAGUCCCGUGAUUCUGGGGCAGCCGGUCUGGCCCUGCCUUCCCCAUUCGGGGGGCUCCAUGUUCCUGUGCCUGUUUCUACCCAGAACAGAGGAGGCGUGCAGA